GAGAUGAAACACUGUUGGGGUUGAAAUAAAAUAAAAUUGAGAUCGAUAGACACAGGCUGUUUCUACAGUGCCAUGCAAGAGGGAAGACAGGAUCUAUACUUUUGCCACUAGACUCCUUCACACAGUGGUGAGGAUGGGAAGCUUCCGAGACCAGAUACAUUUGUUGUUAAUAUUACCAACAACAGAUAGAGUCAGUUUAGAAGAUUUGUUACCAAAGAAACAGAGGGAAUUCUGUGUGACCUGUCCUUUCUAGCUCAUUAAGAAAAACUGCAAUAAUUCCUUGGCCAUGCAUAAUAUAUGAUUAAAGUGCAGUGGUUAAAUAUCCCUAUUAUACUUUUGACAUACUGUGUAGGUUUUUGUCUGCUAUCAGAAUAAACAGUGGCA
RNAcentral lists this long non-coding RNA (384 nucleotides) under Numida meleagris (helmeted guineafowl). Its description in RNAcentral is "lncRNA (ENSNMEG00000007015.1)". Lineage: Eukaryota; Metazoa; Chordata; Aves; Galliformes; Numididae. The record is from RNAcentral.